UUCGGCAGCAAGCUCUCUGCAACUCUCACAUGGUCGCCCACUGAAGCUAAGCAGGGCUCUAUUUGGUCAGUAUCUGGAUGGGAGACCACAUGGGAAAGCUAGGCUGCUGCCGGAA
Molecule: ribosomal RNA, 115 nt
Filed under: Danio rerio (zebrafish)
Lineage: Eukaryota; Metazoa; Chordata; Actinopteri; Cypriniformes; Danionidae
Source: RNAcentral